AACGAACGCUGGCGGCAUGCUUAACACAUGCAAGUCGAACGCUUCCGGGGGUUUCGGCCCUCGGGGGAGUGGCGCACGGGUGAGUAGCGCGUGGGAACCUGCCCAGUAGUGGGGGAUAACCGAGGGAAACCUCGGCUAAUACCGCAUGCGCCCGGGGACGCUCGCAAGGGCGACGCCGGGGAAAGAUUUAUCGCUAUUGGAGGGGCCCGCGUCGGAUUAGGUAGUUGGUGGGGUAACGGCCUACCAAGCCUGUGAUCCGUAGCUGGUCUGAGAGGAUGAUCAGCCACACUGGGACUGAGACACGGACCCAAACUCCUACGGGAGGCAGCAGGUGGGGAAUAUUGGACAAUGGGACGAAAGCCUGAUCCAGCCAUGCCGCGUGAGUGAU
Molecule: ribosomal RNA, 388 nt
Filed under: uncultured bacterium
Lineage: Bacteria
Description: partial 16S ribosomal RNA
Rfam family: Bacterial small subunit ribosomal RNA
Source: RNAcentral